Molecule: ribosomal RNA, 478 nt
Filed under: uncultured bacterium
Lineage: Bacteria
Description: partial 16S ribosomal RNA
Rfam family: Bacterial small subunit ribosomal RNA
Source: RNAcentral
GAUGAACGCUGGCGGCGUGCUUAACACAUGCAAGUCGAACGAGAAGUGGAGACGGAAACCUUCGGGCGGAAGACUUUAUUUCGAGUGGCGGACGGGUGAGUAACGCGUGGGUAACCUGCCUCAUACAGGGGGAUAACAGUUGGAAACGACUGUUAAUACCGCAUAAGACCACAGCACCGCAUGGUGCGGGGGUAAAAACUCCGGUGGUAUGAGAUGGACCCGCGUUCGAUUAGCCAGUUGGCGGGGUAACGGCCCACCAAAGCGACGAUCGAUAGCCGAUCUGAGAGGAUGACCGGCCACAUUGGGACUGAGACACGGCCCAAACUCCUACGGGAGGCAGCAGUGGGGAAUAUUGCACAAUGGGGGAAACCCUGAUGCAGCGACGCCGCGUGAGUGAAGAAGUAUUUCGGUAUGUAAAGCUCUAUCAGCAGGGAAGAAAAUGACGGUACCUGAGUAAGAAGCCCCGGCUAACUACAUG